CCAAGGAGUCUAACAUGUGCGCGAGUCGUCGGGUCUUGAACAGGCCCGCAGGCGAAAUGAAAGUGAAGGGCGACCCAGUCGUCGCCUGCGUUGGGAUCCCCGGGCGAAUGGUGUCCGGGGCGCACCAACGGCCCGUCCCGUCCGCGACGUCGGUGGGACGGAGCGAGAGCGUACACGUUGGGACCCGAAAGAUGGUGAACUAUGCCUGGGCAGGACGAGGCCAGAGGAAACUCUGGUGGAGGUCCGCAGCGAUUCUGACGUGCAAAUCGAUCGUCAGACCUGGGUAUAGGGGCGAAAGACUAAUCGAACCGUCUAGUAGCUGGUUCCCUCCGAAGUUUCCCUCAGGAUAGCUGGCGCUCGAGGGAGUCAGUCUCAUCCGGUAAAGCGAAUGAUUAGAGGCCUUGGGGCCGAAACGACCUCAACCUAUUCUCAAACUUUCAAUGGGUGAGAAGUCCGGUUUACGUGACUGAAGCCCGGACAAUUCUCAGGAUGCGAGUGCCCAGUGGGCCACUUUU
This 515-nucleotide ribosomal RNA is filed under the name Trisecus sp. WCW-2003. RNAcentral's name for it is "eukaryotic LSU rRNA". It matches the Rfam family "Eukaryotic large subunit ribosomal RNA", at positions 666 to 1138 of the family's 3401-position model. The record is from RNAcentral. RNAcentral also lists the same sequence under 1 other name. Lineage: Eukaryota; Metazoa; Arthropoda; Insecta; Hemiptera; Idiostolidae.